This 497-nucleotide ribosomal RNA is filed under the name uncultured bacterium. RNAcentral's name for it is "partial 16S ribosomal RNA". It matches the Rfam family "Bacterial small subunit ribosomal RNA", at positions 28 to 507 of the family's 1533-position model. The record is from RNAcentral.
GAUGAACGCUGGCGGCGUGCCUAAUACAUGCAAGUCGAGCGAACGGACGAGAAGCUUGCUUCUCUGUUGUUAGCGGCGGACGGGUGAGUAACACGUGGAUAACCCACCUAUAAGACUGGGAUAACUUCGGGAAACCGGAGCUAAUACCGGAUAAUAUUUUGAACCGCAUGGUUCAAAAGUGAAAGACGGUCUUGCUGUCACUUAUAGAUGGAUCCGCGCUGCAUUAGCUAGUUGGUAAGGUAACGGCUUACCAAGGCAACGAUGCAUAGCCGACCUGAGAGGGUGAUCGGCCACACUGGAACUGAGACACGGUCCAGACUCCUACGGGAGGCAGCAGUAGGGAAUCUUCCGCAAUGGGCGAAAGCCUGACGGAGCAACGCCGCGUGAGUGAUGAAGGUCUUCGGAUCGUAAAACUCUGUUAUUAGGGAAGAACAUAUGUGUAAGUAACUGUGCACAUCUUGACGGUACCUAAUCAGAAAGCCACGGCUAACUACGUG